AGAAAAAUAGUCUAAAUAAGAUAACCAAUUGUGACUUGGUUGAUAAGGCUUACCUUUUUUUCUA
Molecule: transfer RNA, 64 nt
Filed under: Membranipora grandicella
Lineage: Eukaryota; Metazoa; Bryozoa; Gymnolaemata; Cheilostomatida; Membraniporidae
Description: tRNA-His
Source: RNAcentral